UGGGGAAUAUUGGGCAAUGGGCGAAAGCCUGACCCAGCAACGCCGCGUGAGGGAAGAAGGCCUUCGGGUUGUAAACCUCUGUCCUUGGUGACGAAAAAAAUGACGGUAGCCAAGGAGGAAGCCCCGGCUAACUACGUGCCAGCAGCCGCGGUAAUACGUAGGGGGAGAGCGUUGUCCGGAAUUACUGGGCGUAAAGGGUGCGUAGGUGGCCUUUUAAGUUGGAUGUGAAAUACCCGGGCUUAACUUGGGGGGUGCAUCUAAUACUGGAGGGCUAGAGUGCAGGAGAGGGAAGCGGAAUUCCUAGUGUAGCGGUGAAAUGCGUAGAUAUUAGGAGGAACACCAGUGGCGAAGGCGGCUUUCUGGACUGUAACUGACACUAAGGCACGAAAGCGUGGGGAGCAAACAG
This 406-nucleotide ribosomal RNA is filed under the name uncultured bacterium. Its description in RNAcentral is "bacterial SSU rRNA". It matches the Rfam family "Bacterial small subunit ribosomal RNA", at positions 355 to 775 of the family's 1533-position model. The record is from RNAcentral.